AGAGUUUGAUCAUGGCUCAGAUUGAACGCUGGCGGAAUGCUUUACACAUGCAAGUCGAACGGCAGCACGGACUUCGGUCUGGUGGCGAGUGGCGAACGGGUGAGUAAUAUAUCGGAACGUAUCCAAUAAUGGGGGAUAACUAAUCGAAAGGUUGGCUAAUACCGCAUACGCCCUACGGGGGAAAGCUAGGGACCUUCGGGCCUGGCGUUAAUGGAGCGGCCGAUAUCUGAUUAGCUAGUUGGUGAGGUAAAGGCUCACCAAGGCGACGAUCAGUAGCUGGUCUGAGAGGACGACCAGCCACACUGGAACUGAGACACGGUCCAGACUCCUACGGGAGGCAGCAGUGGGGAAUUUUGGACAAUGGGCGAAAGCCUGAUCCAGCCAUUCCGCGUGAGUGAAGAGGGCCUUCGGGUUGUAAAGCUCUUUCGCAAGGGAAGGAAGAUUACUCUCUAACAUAGAGUAAUUAUGACGGUACCUUAAUAAGAAGCACCGGCUAACUACGUGCCAGCAGCCGCGGUAAUACGUAGGGUGCGAGCGUUAAUCGGAAUUACUGGGCGUAAAGCGUGCGCAGGCGGUUUUGUAAGUCAGAUGUGAAAUCCCCGAGCUCAACUUGGGAACUGCGUUUGAAACUACAAGACUAGAAUAUGUCAGAGGGGGGUAGAAUUCCACGUGUAGCAGUGAAAUGCGUAGAGAUGUGGAGGAAUACCAAUGGCGAAGGCAGCCCCCUGGGAUAAUAUUGACGCUCAUGCACGAAAGCGUGGGGAGCAAACAGGAUUAGAUACCCUGGUAGUCC
This 793-nucleotide ribosomal RNA is filed under the name uncultured bacterium. RNAcentral's name for it is "bacterial SSU rRNA". It matches the Rfam family "Bacterial small subunit ribosomal RNA", at positions 8 to 796 of the family's 1533-position model. The record is from RNAcentral.